GCUGGCGGCGUGCCUAACACAUGCAAGUCGAGCGGAGACAUGAGGGAGCUUGCUCCCGAGUGUUUUAGCGGCGGACGGGUGAGUAACGCGUGAGCAACCUUUCUCUCAGUGGGGAAUAACACAGGGAAACCUGUACUAAUACCGCAUGAGACCACAAUGCCGCAUGGCAUAGGGGUCAAAGAUUUAUUGCUGAGAGGUGGCUCGCGUCCGAUUAGAUAGUUGGUGAGGUAACGGCUCACCAAGUCGACGAUCGGUAGCCGACCUGAGAGGGUGAUCGGCCACAUUGGGACUGAGACACGGCCCAAACUCCUACGGGAGGCAGCAGUGGGGAAUAUUGGGCAAUGGGCGAAAGCCUGACCCAGCAACGCCGCGUGAAGGAAGAAGGUCUUCGGAUCGUAAACUUCUGUCCUAAGUGAAGAGAAGAAGACGGUGGCUUAGGAGGAAGCCCCGGCUAACUACGUGCCAGCAGCCGCGGUAAUACGUAGGGGGCAAGCGUUGUCCGGAAUGAUUGGGCGUAAAGGGCGCGUAGGCGGCCUGUUAAGUCUGGAGUGAAAGUCCUGCCUUCAAGGUGGGAAUUGCUUUGGAUACUGAUGGGCUUGAGUGCAGGAGAGGUUAGUGGAAUUCCCAGUGUAGCGGUGAAAUGCGUAGAGAUUGGGAGGAACACCAGUGGCGAAGGCGACUAACUGGACUGUAACUGACGCUGAGGCGCGAAAGUGUGGGGAGCAAACAGGAUUAGAUACCCUGGUAGUCCACACUGUAAACGAUGAAUGCUAGGUGUAGGGGGUAUCGACCCCUUCUGUGCCGGAGUUAACACAAUAAGCAUCUCGCCUGGGGAGUACGGCCGCAAGGUUGAAACUCAAAUGAAUUGACGG
RNAcentral lists this ribosomal RNA (872 nucleotides) under uncultured Bacillota bacterium. RNAcentral's name for it is "bacterial SSU rRNA". It matches the Rfam family "Bacterial small subunit ribosomal RNA", at positions 35 to 916 of the family's 1533-position model. Lineage: Bacteria; Bacillati; Bacillota. The record is from RNAcentral.